Molecule: ribosomal RNA, 497 nt
Filed under: uncultured bacterium
Lineage: Bacteria
Description: partial 16S ribosomal RNA
Rfam family: Bacterial small subunit ribosomal RNA
Source: RNAcentral
GAUGAACGCUGGCGGCGUGCCUAAUACAUGCAAGUCGAGCGAACAGACGAGGAGCUUGCUCCUCUGACGUUAGCGGCGGACGGGUGAGUAACACGUGGAUAACCUACCUAUAAGACUGGGAUAACUUCGGGAAACCGGAGCUAAUACCGGAUAAUAUAUUGAACCGCAUGGUUCAAUAGUGAAAGACGGUUUUGCUGUCACUUAUAGAUGGAUCCGCGCCGCAUUAGCUAGUUGGUAAGGUAACGGCUUACCAAGGCAACGAUGCUUAGCCGACCUGAGAGGGUGAUCGGCCACACUGGAACUGAGACACGUUCCAGACUCCUACGGGAGGCGGCAGUAGGGAAUCUUCCGCAAUGGGCGAAAGCCUGACGGAGCAACGCCGCGUGAUUGAUGAAGGUCUUCGGAUCGUAAAACUCUGUUAUUAGGGAAGAACAAAUGUGUAAGUACCUAUGCACGUCUUGACGGUACCUAAUCAGAAAGCCACGGCUAACUACGUG